This is a long non-coding RNA of Hyla sarda, 1536 nucleotides long. RefSeq lists it as uncharacterized. Lineage: Eukaryota; Metazoa; Chordata; Amphibia; Anura; Hylidae. The transcript has 6 exons. The record is from RefSeq and is a predicted model, not a curated record.
CCCGGCAGAAGCGACAGGAGCAGCAAACCCUCCCGCCUCACAGCCGCAUCGCUGAGCAGAUAAGAGGAUGAGGAUCUACUGACAAAUUAAGGAACCAAUGAUGUCCAGGUGUCAGACUCUGCAGAGAAGAUGGAAGAAGUCCUGGUGUCUGGACCAGAUGAAGAAGAAAAGUAAAGACAACAGAGAAGACGUCACUCAGAACAAACAAAAAUAAAGCCUGAAGCAAGUUAAGAGGCUGCAUUCCUUCCAAAUUCCAGAUACUGACUCAUCAUCACUGAGGUGGUGCUCCACCCCAAGUCCCCAGUCACAGGGGUACCCAGGUUGCAGUGCGGCCUGAGACAUUACAUCACUAGUCAGGUGAUCAGAGGUAGCCUGUCUUUGCUUUAAUGGUUGGAGCGACUACUAGUGGGAGGAAGAUCAUUCUGUUUUUGGAACAGCUGGAAGCAUCCUGGUCAGAAAACACUGGUCUAUUGCAUUGAAGUGAUCACAGUGGCCACCCUAUUAUCGCAAACACCCCAAUACAAGCAAGCUUGAAUUACUAUUCACCUUUACUGCAACACUGUAAACUCUGGACAACAUCAUCCCACCAGCGGAGCGCGCUGUCCCCGGAACCCCCAUUACUUUGCAGAGUAACAACGUGAGACUCAUCCGGGACAUCGAUCCUCCAGAUUGAAAGAAGGAGCACCUUUCACUGGCACCACGGAGAUUCAUCAGCCUUUGGCUUUACAGGCUUUCAUGGAUCCAGAAGCAUUCACUGGUCAAUGACUGCAACUCUAGUGGCCUAAAAAUGGCCUACAAGAGAAUGGGACUGCUGGAAACCUCAGCAUCCUGGAGCACAUACACUUUAAAUAGGAUCAGGAAAAGGACAGCAUCACAGCAAAUGGGAACAAUUACAUCACUGCAUUGCGCCAGUUUACAUUGAGUCUCAUAGGCUGCAGGCUGAAAGUGCCUCAGCCUAGGAAAGUGGUGUAGCAGAGUGCCAGAAACUUCUGUAUGGGCAUCUUUAGAACAUCUAUACAGUUGAAAGGGCACAAGAAAGUGGUUAAAGGGGUUAUCCACCAUAAGGUGAUUUAAGUACGUACAUGUCAGACAGUAAUGGACAUGCUUAGGAAGGAUCUGCGCUUGUCUUGGGGCUAAAUGGCUAUGUCAUGAGAUUACCAUAAUACUGUGGCUAGCUUUUUGUGAACUGGUAUUUCCUGUUUCAGUUUUCUUUUUUUGAUUACAAAUUCCAUAAUUCCAUUUUCCUCCCUCCCACACAUCAGCCACUCCACCCAUUGAAACAUAAAUGAGCUGCAUCCAUUCAAAUCAGUGUGGUUUUCAAUCAGGGUGCCUACAGCUGUUGCACAUUGAUCUCUCUCCCACCAAGCGAUCCCUCCACCCAUUGAAGUAGACAGGCUCCCUGUCAUCAGCUGACUAGUGAGUCAGGUCUCGGCCGCAUUGCAGCCUGGGAAUAAUCUGAGACAACAGUAAUUUUGUAUGCUGUUAAAAAUAUUGGGGUGAAAAUCCCAGAAGAAUUGUGAGAAAGCCGUCACACAC